This 305-nucleotide ribosomal RNA is filed under the name uncultured bacterium. RNAcentral describes it as "bacterial SSU rRNA". It matches the Rfam family "Bacterial small subunit ribosomal RNA", at positions 330 to 635 of the family's 1533-position model. The record is from RNAcentral.
UUCGGCCUACGGGGGGCAGCAGUGAGGAAUAUUGGUCAAUGGUCGGGAGACUGAACCAGCCAAGCCGCGUGAGGGAUGAAGGUACAGAGUAUCGUAAACCUCUUUUGUCAGGGAACAAAGGCGGGGACGUGUCCCCGGAUGAGUGUACCUGAAGAAAAAGCAUCGGCUAACUCCGUGCCAGCAGCCGCGGUAAUACGGAGGGGGCAAGCGUUAUCCGGAUUUACUGGGUGUAAAGGGAGCGUAGACGGGCCAGCAAGUCUGAUGUGAAAACCCGGGGCCCAACCCCGGGAGUGCAUUGGAAACUG